Molecule: ribosomal RNA, 428 nt
Filed under: Actinomycetes bacterium
Lineage: Bacteria; Bacillati; Actinomycetota; Actinomycetes
Description: Actinobacteria bacterium partial 16S ribosomal RNA
Rfam family: Bacterial small subunit ribosomal RNA
Source: RNAcentral
UAGGGAAUCUUCCGCAAUGGGCGAAAGCCUGACGAGCAACGCCGCGUGAGUGAUGAAGGUCUUCGGAUCGUAAAACUCUGUUAUUAGGGAAGAACAAAUGUGUAAGUAACUAUGCACGUCUUGACGGUACCUAAUCAGAAAGCCACGGCUAACUACGUGCCAGCAGCCGCGGUAAUACGUAGGUGGCAAGCGUUAUCCGGAAUUAUUGGGCGUAAAGCGCGCGUAGGCGGUUUUUUAAGUCUGAUGUGAAAGCCCACGGCUCAACCGUGGAGGGUCAUUGGAAACUGGAAAACUUGAGUGCAGAAGAGGAAAGUGGAAUUCCAUGUGUAGCGGUGAAAUGCGCAGAGAUAUGGAGGAACACCAGUGGCGAAGGCGACUUUCUGGUCUGUAACUGACGCUGAUGUGCGAAAGCGUGGGGAUCAAACAGG